Molecule: non-coding RNA, 134 nt
Organism: Populus trichocarpa (black cottonwood)
Lineage: Eukaryota; Viridiplantae; Streptophyta; Magnoliopsida; Malpighiales; Salicaceae
Source: Rfam
GAGAGCCGUGUGAUAGGUGACUAUCCAGCACGGUUUCGGCGAGCACCUUUUUUAGUCCGCGCUGAUGAAUGGAAGCCGCCAAUCAAGCAAGAAACAAGUGGCUCUUUCGACGGCGUUGUCACCAUUGACUCUCU